AGCGUAUAUUAAAGUUGUUGCAGUUAAAAAGCUCGUAGUUGAAUUUCGGGAUUAAUAUGUUGGUCGUGCCUUGGUACGUACUGGUAUUAUUGAUUCCUACCUUCUGAAGAACCUCGAUGUCAUUAAUUUGGUGUCUUGGGGAAUCAGGACCGUUACUUUGAAAAAAUUAGAGUGUUUAAAGCAGGCUCGCGCUUGAAUACAUUAGCAUGGAAUAAUGAAAUAGGACGUUUGAUUCUAUUUUGUUGGUUUCUAGGAUCGACGUAAUGAUUAAUAGGGAUAGUUGGGGGCAUUAGUAUUCAAUUGUCAGAGGUGAAAUUCUUGGAUUUAUUGAAGACUGACUACUGCGAAAGCAUUUGCCAAGGAUGUUUUCAUUAAUCAAGAACGAAAGUUAGGGGAUCGAAGACGAUCAGAUACCGUCGUAGUCUUAACCAUAAACUAUGCCGACUAGGGAUCGGAUGAUGUUAAUUUUUUAAUGACUCAUUC
RNAcentral lists this ribosomal RNA (483 nucleotides) under uncultured Glomeromycotina. RNAcentral's name for it is "SSU rRNA". It matches the Rfam family "Eukaryotic small subunit ribosomal RNA", at positions 596 to 1081 of the family's 1831-position model. The record is from RNAcentral. Lineage: Eukaryota; Fungi; Glomeromycota.